CCAAGGAGUCUAACAUGUGCGCGAGUCAUUGGGAUGAUUGAAACCUAAAGGCGCAAUGAAAGUGAAGAUCGUCCUUAGCGUCGAUCGAGGGAGGAUGGCUCGUGUCACGAUGCGAGCUCGCACUCCCGGGGCGUCUCGUGCUCAUUGCGAGCUGAGGCGCACCCAGAGCGUACACGUUGGGACCCGAAAGAUGGUGAACUAUGCCUGGUCAGGACGAAGUCAGGGGAAACCCUGAUGGAGGUCCGUAGCGAUUCUGACGUGCAAAUCGAUCGUCGGAACUGGGUAUAGGGGCGAAAGACUAAUCGAACCAUC
RNAcentral lists this ribosomal RNA (312 nucleotides) under Eretmocerus mundus. Its description in RNAcentral is "eukaryotic LSU rRNA". It matches the Rfam family "Eukaryotic large subunit ribosomal RNA", at positions 666 to 944 of the family's 3401-position model. The record is from RNAcentral. Lineage: Eukaryota; Metazoa; Arthropoda; Insecta; Hymenoptera; Aphelinidae.